CAGCGGCAGUGUCUACUAACUUUUAGGGCUUUGGUCCAGAUUGGUGAGGUCUAUACCUUAUUUGAUACACCAAGUCUAUUGGAUGAAUUUUUGCUGAAAAUAACUGAAGGUUUUAUCACGUCAAGGUUGGACUCUAUGCAGGUACGAUUUCUUGUAUGGUGAGUACUUUCUGUCCACCUAUUGGGAAUCAAUAUAUUUUGAGACUUCAUUUACUAAGAGAAAUUGACACUUCCAAAUUUCUCUUUCCUUACUGGGUAUUUGUUGCAAGCUAGAUUUCUAGACGACCUAUCAAAAAAUCCAUUGGAUAGUGUUGAACUUCUUCAGGAUCAGCUGGAAUGUUUUCCAUACCUCUAUAAAUUCCAGAGUUGGCAUCUUGUGGCGUUGAUGUUCACCAGCCGAGUAGACAUGAUAGGAUGCAGGACAAUGCAUCACAUGAUAGAGUCAAUCCAAUUAAGGUAAUUGAUGGUUCAUUUGAAUUAAGAAAAAGGUAUCAAGGUGCGACGUGUUUUACAUGUUCCCAUUCUUUAGGGUGCGAUUGUGUUCUCCAACAUUGUAACAACAGUAUCUCCAUCUUUCUCUUCCUGCCCCGACUCUCUCUCUAUCUCUCCGCCCUGAUUUCGCUCAAAAUAUGAUCACAUGGGGGCUGAAAUGGCUGACCUUGUUCAGGAGGUUUGAUUGGAUUACUGUGUGGGAUAGAGAAAUUGGAUUCUUCAAAAGGGUAUAAAAUAUCAACUUAUGUAUAUUGGCGGAUUCGUCAGCAACUGAAGUAUAGAAGCCUCAGAAGAACCAGCUCCUACUACCAACAUCACCCAGCCAACUAGUACAGAAGAUAGACUCUGUUGCAAGUUCUAUUAUCAAUAUUAUUUCCACCUUUAAGUUCUGAACAUGAAGAACAUCAUUGUUGUUAUUUGCUGCAAAUUUAUUUAUUUAUUUAUUAUAUAUUUGUGGAUCUUUUUUUGACUGGAUUAAGUGGGCCUGGGUUGUAUUAUUAGAGUGGUUCUUUCACCUGCAACAUUAUAAAUAAAGUGGUGUAGAGAGAUCUUUUUACACUUUUUCUUC
Long non-coding RNA from Magnolia sinica, 1059 nucleotides. RefSeq lists it as uncharacterized. The transcript has 4 exons. NCBI's taxonomy places the organism in Eukaryota, Viridiplantae, Streptophyta, Magnoliopsida, Magnoliales, Magnoliaceae. The record is from RefSeq and is a predicted model, not a curated record.